AAAAAUCGUUUUAUCGAAAAAACUUAUAGUCGUACCUAAAAAGAAAAGAAAAAGAAGAAAUUAAAGAAAUUAAUUCGCAUCACAAUAAACCAAUAAGUUUCAAGGUGUCGAAGAUAAUUCUCAUUUAUGGGAGGGAGGAACAAAUCUGAGAAAUGACCUGUCUUCUUUUUAUUUUUCUUUUUCUUUUUUUUAUGAGUAUAUGUAUAUAUAAAUACAAUUCUUUUUCAUUUACGUUAAGUUAAUAGAUUUAUUUUUUAGAUUAUAACUUGAAGAGAAUACGUUAUAAUAUUUUAUUGGAUUGGAAGAGGAUGCAUGUUUUUUUUGCGUACGUGGAUAUAUCUACAAGGCUGGAUGCACUCAUUCGUCGUAUACUUUCGUGUACGAUCGUGCUCCGAAGAUCAGUAGCAGUGGGCAUGCAUGCAUGCAUGCACGCAUGCGUGCGUCAUGUAUGAUCUCUCUGCUUACGUGAUGUGUAUGGAUUAUGUAUGUAUAUAUGUAUGUAUGUAUGCGUCGUACGCUUGCUCUUCUUCGUUAUGUAAAAUAGUAUUUUUAUAAAGAUAAAACAGUGUAUGCAAGGUCUAUAAAGUCAUAAUGUUAAAAAAAAAAAAAGGGAAGCAAGAAACAACACGCAAGAGAUGCUAUGAUGAUGACGUUCGGAUUAAAUAAAGUAAAAAUUUGCUAAGAAAACAUCAAUUACAUUAUCACAAUAAAUGUUCCACGGACAUUUUACUGCCAGCCGAUUGAUUGAUUAUUACAAGUGCCAAUUUGAGCACAUUACCCGAUGGUAAACGAAACUUAAAUAAACAA
This 807-nucleotide long non-coding RNA is filed under the name Polistes fuscatus (common paper wasp). RNAcentral describes it as "uncharacterized LOC122516288". The record is from RNAcentral. Lineage: Eukaryota; Metazoa; Arthropoda; Insecta; Hymenoptera; Vespidae.